CAGGACGAACGCUUGCGGCGUGCCUAAUACAUGCAAGUCGAGCGAGCUUGCCUAGAUGAUUUUAGUGCUUGCACUAAAUGAAACUAGAUACAAGCGAGCGGCGGACGGGUGAGUAACACGUGGGUAACCUGCCCAAGAGACUGGGAUAACACCUGGAAACAGAUGCUAAUACCGGAUAACGACACUAGACGCAUGUCUAGAGUUUGAAAGAUGGUUCUGCUAUCACUCUUGGAUGGACCUGCGGUGCAUUAGCUAGUUGGUAAGGUAACGGCUUACCAAGGCAAUGAUGCAUAGCCGAGUUGAGAGACUGAUCGGCCACAUUGGGACUGAGACACGGCCCAAACUCCUACGGGAGGCAGCAGUAGGGAAUCUUCCACAAUGGACGAAAGUCUGAUGGAGCAACGCCGCGUGAGUGAAGAAGGGUUUCGGCUCGUAAAGCUCUGUUGGUAGUGAAGAAAGAUAGAGGUAGUAACUGGCCUUUAUUUGACGGUAAUUACUUAGAAAGUCACGGCUAACUACGUGCCAGCAGCCGCGGUAAUACGUAGGUGGCAAGCGUUGUCCGGAUUUAUUGGGCGUAAAGCGAGUGCAGGCGGUUCAAUAAGUCUGAUGUGAAAGCCUUCGGCUCAACCGGAGAAUUGCAUCAGAAACUGUUGAACUUGAGUGCAGAAGAGGAGAGUGGAACUCCAUGUGUAGCGGUGGAAUGCGUAGAUAUAUGGUAGAACACCAGUGGCGAAGGCGGCUCUCUGGUCUGCAACUGACGCUGAGGCUCGAAAGCAUGGGUAGCGAACAGGAUUAGAUACCCUGGUAGUCCAUGCCGUAAACGAUGAGUGCUAAGUGUUGGGAGGUUUCCGCCUCCUCAGUGCUGCAGCUAACGCAUUAAGCACUCCGCCUGGG
This 894-nucleotide ribosomal RNA is filed under the name uncultured bacterium. RNAcentral describes it as "bacterial SSU rRNA". It matches the Rfam family "Bacterial small subunit ribosomal RNA", at positions 25 to 877 of the family's 1533-position model. The record is from RNAcentral.